ACCCUGGUCCAGCAAUGCCGCGUGAGUGAAGAAGGCCUUCGGGUUGUAAAGCUCUUUUGUCAGGGAAGAAACGGGAGUGGCUAAUAUCUGCUUCUAAUGACGGUACCUGAAGAAUAAGCACCGGCUAACUACGUGCCAGCAGCCGCGGUAAUACGUAGGGUGCAAGCGUUAAUCGGAAUUACUGGGCGUAAAGCGUGCGCAGGCGGUUUUGUAAGUCUGUUGUGAAAUCCCCGGGCUUAACCUGGGAAUGGCAAUGGAGACUGCAAGGCUAGAGUUUGGCAGAGGGGGGUAGAAUUCCACGUGUAGCAGUGAAAUGCGUAGAGAUGUGGAGGAACACCGAUGGCGAAGGCAGCCCCCUGGGUCAAGACUGACGCUCAUGCACGAAAGCGUGGGGAGCAAACAGGAUUAGAUACCCUGGUAGUCCACGCCCUAAACGAUGUCUACUAGUUGUCGGGUCUUAAUUGACUUGGUAACGCAGCUAACGCGUGAAGUAGACCGCCUGGGGAGUACGGUCGCAAGAUUAAAACUCAAAGGAAUUGACGGAAGCCGCAUU
This 553-nucleotide ribosomal RNA is filed under the name uncultured bacterium. RNAcentral's name for it is "bacterial SSU rRNA". It matches the Rfam family "Bacterial small subunit ribosomal RNA", at positions 380 to 927 of the family's 1533-position model. The record is from RNAcentral.